AUUCUACUUGUUGCUGUUGCUCGGAAAAGUAUGGCGAAAGAUCAAAAUCAUUGAAAAAAAUGAAUAAAAACUUAGAAGAACAAAUUCAAAUGUUUAUCUUUCCUGGAUAUUCGAUGAACAACGAUUGCUAUCCAUCAGUUGUUUGUCCUGGUUGCCAAAGAAAUCUUUACAGACUCAAAAAGGGAGACUCACCUCGUGGUGAAUGGGGAGCUAAGGUUACCAAGAGUAGAAAACCCUUUUGAGAAAUAGCCCCAGAACCAGUCUAACUCUUCCAGAUGAGAUAACUAAUUUUCCGACAACUAAGUCAAGUAUAUGUUCUUUUUGCUAUUCAUUGCCUGCACCUGGUUAUUCUCAUAACUGUACACCCACCAGUGCUGUGGCAAAUAUCAUUACACUGUCAUUUCUUCUAGGUUCUCUUCAAGCUGAACAGGUUGCUUCUGGAAUUAUAAAAAGUAAAAUGGCUACAGAAAGUUUGGUUGACGGAUCAACAUUUUGUUUAU
Non-coding RNA from Hydra vulgaris (swiftwater hydra), 500 nucleotides. The record is from RefSeq and is a predicted model, not a curated record. Lineage: Eukaryota; Metazoa; Cnidaria; Hydrozoa; Anthoathecata; Hydridae.